RNAcentral lists this ribosomal RNA (500 nucleotides) under uncultured bacterium. RNAcentral describes it as "partial 16S ribosomal RNA". It matches the Rfam family "Bacterial small subunit ribosomal RNA", at positions 30 to 523 of the family's 1533-position model. The record is from RNAcentral.
AUUGAACGCUGGCGGCAUGCCUUACACAUGCAAGUCGAACGGUAACGGGUCCUUCGGGAUGCCGACGAGUGGCGAACGGGUGAGUAAUAUAUCGGAACGUGCCCAGUAGUGGGGGAUAACUGCUCGAAAGAGCAGCUAAUACCGCAUACGACCUGAGGGUGAAAGGGGGGGAUCGCAAGACCCCUCGCUAUUGGAGCGGCCGAUAUCAGAUUAGCUAGUUGGUGGGGUAAAGGCCUACCAAGGCAACGAUCUGUAGUUGGUCUGAGAGGACGACCAGCCACACUGGGACUGAGACACGGCCCAGACUCCUACGGGAGGCAGCAGUGGGGAAUUUUGGACAAUGGGCGCGAGCCUGAUCCAGCAAUGCCGCGUGCAGGAAGAAGGCCUUCGGGUUGUAAACUGCUUUUGUCAGGGAAGAAAUCUUCUGGGCUAAUACCCCGGGAGGAUGACGGUACCUGAAGAAUAAGCACCGGCUAACUACGUGCCAGCCGCCGCAGUAA